AUUGAACGCUGGCGGCAGGCUUAACACAUGCAAGUCGAGCGGGGUGAUGGUGCUUGCACUAUCACUUAGCGGCGGACGGGUGAGUAAUGCUUAGGAAUCUGCCUAUUAGUGGGGGACAACAUCUCGAAAGGGAUGCUAAUACCGCAUACGUCCUACGGGAGAAAGCAGGGGAUCACUUGUGACCUUGCGCUAAUAGAUGAGCCUAAGUCGGAUUAGCUAGUUGGUUGGGUAAAGGCCUACAAAGGCGACGAUCUGUAGCGGGUCUGAGAGGAUGAUCCGCCACACUGGGACUGAGACACGGCCCAGACUCCUACGGGAGGCAGCAGUGGGGAAUAUUGGACAAUGGGGGGAACCCUGAUCCAGCCAUGCCGCGUGUGUGAAGAAGGCCUUAUGGUUGUAAAGCACUUUAAGCGAGGAGGAGGCUCUUUUGGUUAAUACCCAAGAUGAGUGGACGUUACUCGCAGAAUAAGCACCGGCUAACUCUGUGCCAGCCGCCGCAGUAA
RNAcentral lists this ribosomal RNA (503 nucleotides) under uncultured bacterium. Its description in RNAcentral is "partial 16S ribosomal RNA". It matches the Rfam family "Bacterial small subunit ribosomal RNA", at positions 30 to 523 of the family's 1533-position model. The record is from RNAcentral.